Molecule: unclassified non-coding RNA, 152 nt
Filed under: sea anemone metagenome
Description: partial contains small subunit ribosomal RNA and internal transcribed spacer 1
Rfam family: Eukaryotic small subunit ribosomal RNA
Source: RNAcentral
GCUACUACCGAUUGAAUGGUUUAGUGAGGACUCCUGAUUGGCGCCGCCGCCCCGGCAACGGAGCAGCGGACUGCCGAAAAGUUGUUCAAACUUGAUCAUUUAGAGGAAGUAAAAGUCGUAACAAGGUUUCUGUAGGUGAACCUGCAGAAUCA